CGGGGCGUAGCUCAGUCUGGUUAGAGUGCUUGCUUUGGGAGCAAGAUGUCGCCGGUUCGAAUCCGGCCGCCCCGA
This 75-nucleotide transfer RNA is filed under the name Planctomycetota bacterium. RNAcentral describes it as "Planctomycetes bacterium tRNA-Pro". It matches the Rfam family "tRNA". From Rfam's summary of the family: Transfer RNA (tRNA) molecules are approximately 80 nucleotides in length. Their secondary structure includes four short double-helical elements and three loops (D, anti-codon, and T loops). RNAcentral also lists the same sequence under 1 other name. Lineage: Bacteria; Pseudomonadati; Planctomycetota. The record is from RNAcentral.